Cyprinus carpio carpio is the source of this 1379-nucleotide long non-coding RNA. Lineage: Eukaryota; Metazoa; Chordata; Actinopteri; Cypriniformes; Cyprinidae. The record is from Ensembl.
UUCUGUAGUGUUUUUGUUAGAUCUUAUACUUGUUGUAAUUUAAAUAUGUCCUUAUAUGUCAGCAGGAGAGGUUUCAGUCAAGAUUAGCCAAACUACGGGAACAUCAUAACAAUUGCUCCAAGCGCUUCAAUAGAGCAGAAAUUAAAAAAACCAACACAACAAAAAAGACUGCCAUACAUGAGGAUUGCGUUGUGAGUAAUGUGUACACAUGAUCAUCACAUUACUUUAACACCUCAGUGUAUUUAAAGGGGUCAUAUUCUGCGUUUUCACUUUUUGCAGCUCUAGGUUUUCGUCGGUCGAGAGGGAGCUGCUGUUGUCAUUGCCCCCCCAAACAAAAGAAAGGAAAACUGCUCUUGACUGAAUCACUUAUUAACUUAAAUAAGAAUCAUCUAUAUUUAAUGUAUAGAGUGAAGAUUAUUUUUACAUUUAUUACUUCAUAGAAUGUCUGUAGUAGGCUAUUUUUAGAAGCCUUUACUUGGCUACUAUCUGAAAAGAAAACUAUUUAAUUUGUAUUUGUGAGUAAUAUAUUCAUAUACUGUAUCAUUUAGCUUGUAAGUAAUACUUAGUGUUUAAUUGCCUUCAGUAAGCCUGACAGUGUUUUAUUACUAUUUUUUGCUUUUGUGUUAGUGGCAGUUUCUUACUGCAAAAAAAAAAAAAUUAAUAAAAAAAUUAUUUGGAGGCGGGUGCUUUAUAGAGAUCAGAAGAAAUCUGAGGGUUUGGCAGAGCUCAGGAGAUUGGUCCUGCAAUAAUGUAAAUUAUUAGUAGUGUUAUAUUAAAAAUUAUAGUGUUAUAAAAAUAGUGUUUUUUAAACAAUUAAACAUGAAAACCUAUUCUACAACACCUCAAAAACAAUAUAAAGACUUCACAAAAGGACAUAAUAUGACCCCUCUCAACUGCUAAUGGUCAUUAACCAGUUUCCUUUGUCAUUUGAAGCUUUCCACUUGUUUUUCUCUCUUAUGUUUUGAAGGUAUUCCAGUCAUCUGAUGCACCCUGUGCUAUGUGUACCUCUGUAAAGGCAUCACCACCCUCUCGCCCUUCUCCACUCCCCUCAUCAUCAUCAUCAUCAGCUGCCCCUGUGAUGGGCACAUCAUCUUCAUCCUCCCCAUCAUCACCUGCCCCUUUACCCUGUGAUGCAUCCACUUCUGUGAUCUCCCCAUCACAGGUGUCCCAGACACUCUCAAUAAGGGAGGUUCAUCAAUCCCUUCAAAAAGAAAAUGGGAGGACUCUGAGGUAAAAGCAGUGAAAAAAACAUAUGAUGAAGUUCAUAAAGACCUGCAAAGUUCCUGGUACGCUAGACUGUGAGAGAUGCAUUGAAGCAGAGUCAGAAGCCUUAAAAGGAACGAACAUGGACUGGUGUGAAAAAAAUUAUGUGCGGAACA